UCUCUCUCUUUAUUGACGGAUUUAAAGGCAGCAAUAAUCUCCUGUUCUGCUGAAAAAUAUUUCCUGUCUCAGACUCAAACGGAGUCGAUACCAAAGCAGAGAUCAGAGCGGCGGUGAGAAACACUGUCGCCUCCUUCGACACACAUGUGCAAUACAGGUCACAGGAUUUACCACAAACGUGCACAAACACACACACACGUGCACGUGCAGGAUGAGGAUCCCAUUUCAUCUCAAUCACCUGCGAGUUUAUCGACCCAGGUGCGUCCUCCUUUCCUCCUUCCUUUCAUUUAUUUUGCUUUUUUCAGGUAUUGAUUUGAAUAUCGGAGCGUUUGAGACGAAGAUCAUAUUCAGGGUUCGACCAUUCGUGUCCUUCUGCAUCCAUCUGCUGCUCCUCCCCGUCUUUAGUGGAUUUCUCACCUUCUCAUGAGUUUAUUUAGAGGACUGUUCUAGAUUCUCCUGCUCAGCAUGUUAGCGUCUCUUUCCUACGAUCCACUCAGAGUGCUUUUAUAACAAAUCCACCGUUUAUAUUCACAUUUACACACUGACAGUAGAAGCUGCUGUACAAACACACUGUCUAAUCCCAUUCACAUAAACCCGCACAGGGCUGUUUCACCACUGGGAGCACUGGUCCAAGGACAUGUAGACAUGUGACGGAGGUCGAACCGCCAAACCCUCCGUCUGAGGGGUCAGGACUGAAACUGUUCAGAUGGAUCCAGUCUUGGACUCUGGAGAUCUAAUGUCUAAAGAGAGCUAGUUCAGACAGGCUACUUAGUCCAGAUCAGUUCACAGUGCAUCAGCUGACGACUCGGCCUGUUUCUCUGUUUAGACCUGAACUUUAACCUUCAGUACAUGAUGUCGUAUAAAUCGUAACUGCAGAGAGUCUUUGCUGCUGCUCCCCCCGCCUCGAUUUUAAAUACAUGCACAUUAAACAGGCUGAAGGUGUUCUCUUCCUGCUUUGGCUUUUCAUUAAGAUCGGAGUUCCCCUCCUGCUGCAGAAGUAAAGUCAAAGUCUUACGGGGCGUUCACAUCAAGCGCAAGUAAAAUCAUCAACGCAAAUGAUUUGUGCGUCAACAGAGUGAUUAAAAGCCGUGGAUUACUGUUUAUAUUCAUUUCAACAGAUUCUUACCAAUUCAACCUGCAGGAUCAAGUUAUAAACAACAGUUUUUAACAAUUUACCAGAUUAUCCGACCUCCUUACUCUCUUUCCUCCAGACGAGCUCCUUUUUAUUCCUGUUUUACGAGAGACACGAGACGUACAUGGAUACGAGAGAGAG
Molecule: non-coding RNA, 1273 nt
Organism: Xyrichtys novacula (pearly razorfish)
Lineage: Eukaryota; Metazoa; Chordata; Actinopteri; Labriformes; Labridae
Source: the annotation of a GenBank genome assembly